UCUACGUGACUUAAUCUGCAUACUACAUCACAGAUAGUACUCCCUGUCAAAAACCUCAAUCAUUAGCCAGAUUUAACCCGAACAACAAAGUCGAUUUUUUAUAGCUCCCUGGGAAGUCAGCAGAGGCCUACCGGGCGCGUUAUUUCCAUAAAAAUGUCACCUUUAAAUCAUUUUCAGCGGUCACACAGAGUUCCCCGGUAGGAGGAUCGGAAAGAAAUGGAGAGUUCUGAAAACGAUGAUGUCUUAAUUUCGUAACAGGUUCAAAUUCUUACACCCAGGACGGGUCGACAAGACCCCGAGGCAGCCACCGUCCUCUGAUGAUGUCACCCGGUCUCCCUUUAGCAGACGCUGUACUUGAUAACCUGGGCCAUCAUGCGUUUUAAUCUUGGAUAUCUAACUAUCAAAGCGGAUUCAAUACUUGAUGCACUCGCGGGUCAUCACAACAACCGGUCUUCACAUGAGAAGAAAUUAAGGCCUUUCUGAGUGUUCCAUUAACCUCAGGCAUGACCAAGCUGAAUGAGAAAUCAAGGUCAACAUUCAGGAAAAAAUUGGAUAGUCUACAAUCAUUGAGAUUUUGAAGAACAAGGACAAGUGGAUAGUUGUUACUACUAAAUCUACGGAUUUAACCGCAAUGUAAAUGCCAAACAUCAGCAACUUCACGACACCCUGUAUCUAUGGUUUUCCGACAUGACUGUUCACCAUGCUGCCAUCAACAAUGAGUUAUUACUCACUAAUGCACAGCCAUAGGUUUCAGGUAUUCCAGAGGGUAUCUCAUUCGCUUCAACACCAAACACAGGAUCAAAAGAAAGGUUUACGAGGCAGGAAGAGAUGCUAACAUAGCAGAUAUCAUCAUAGUGGAGACAGGACGCAAUGAACUUCAGCGUGUGCUAAAAGUCUACGCAGUUGAGUUGAGACUAUCCGAGAAAAAUCACAGUGCUGUUAUAAAUGUACCUCUGUGUACUUCGCACCACAUGACGUCACAAUGAAAAAGUACGUCACAGCGUACAUGUUCUCAUAGAUGUAUCGCGGGGAAAGUGUCAUAAUAUUUUGUCGUUAUUUACUACUGUUAUCAAGUGAUACGCUGUAUACGUGAAAACAUUUCUUGUCAAAUGAUUAUAUAUAUUAUUUCUUUAUGAUAUCAAAUCAUGCUCCAUUUUUAAUAUAUAGUAUGCACGAAUGUGAUAUUCAUAUUAUAUUGUGACCUUGGAAUCGCACCUAAUCUGAAUGACUGAUGCAAUUAAAAAAUCCCUCAUGUACAUAAGUGAUAUCAUACUACAGAAACAGUGGCAAAGUUCAGGUUCAUCUGCUAUAUAAAAAAAAAAGAAUCUGAAUUUUUCUGAAAUAUAAUCUAGAUAUAUUUAUGCAUUUGAAAAAUGCGGGGAUCAAUUUCUGUCUUGUAUAUUAACAGUAUGAUAUACAUAGGAAUGUGGACAACCCCGGUAAUUCGCUGAUGACUGUUAAUAGCUUAUAGCAUGUUUAGUUUGAGUAUACAUUUGUUCCCAACACUUUUCAUGUUAAGGAUUUUUUAUUUAUUUCUGAUUAUAUUACUAAAAAUUCUGAUGGUUACCUGCAUGAGCCUGAACUUUUCUUCACAAGUAGGGUCUCUUACUAUUUUUCAAAAAUAAAGUGUUACGUGAUAUUCAACUGACGUCACGGGAAAUUACCAUGAGGGGAAUUUACAGAAGCUCAGUCACAGUCAACAUAUGGGAAGUAUUGUUUCGGUGUUUAAACGUAACAAGUGUAAUGAUACCUGUGAAUUUGAGGUGUCAUUUCACCCCAUGAUUAUUAUACAUUUUACUAUGGAAGCCCUUAACCUAGUUGCGUACAGACUAUCAGCCAGGCGACAUUCAACCUUGACGAAAUCAGACUUUUAAACUCGGUUCAAACUACUCAUUAGCAACGUCAAGCGUGAGUGGAACAAUGAUGUCCCCAGAAAGAAUUACCGUAGUCCUUAUGACAAAUGCCACAUGAACAAUAAAGAUCAAGCCAUUUAUAAUUGCUAAAGCGCACCGACCACAGUGUUUUUCUAAGAAGUAAAACCACAGAGACAUGUGUCCGCUACCGACACAAUGCCAAGCCAUGGAUGACAGUGGAGCUUUUCACAGUCUAGUUGAAGGACUUUGAUUGACAGAUGCGGUUUAUUGCAAAAACGGUUGUUCUAUGUGUUAACAAUAAUGCAAGCCAUACCCAAAGCAAUCAUUAAUUACACAAUGUGAGGUUGCACUUCCUCCCACCAAACAGUAUCACGCAUGUUCAAAUCACGGAUACAGGAAUAAUCAGAGCAUUUAAGAUUCACAACAGGACACAACUGGUCGCCCACUACAUCAAUUGUGCUCAAAGGAAUAAAAGUCAGGUAACUUUCGUGAAGUCCUUCAUAUGGUGAAGACAACAUGGAAAAGAGUUUCAUCAUCUACAAUUCCCAACUGCUACAAACAUGUGAACAUUCUUUCCCUGCUGACGAGCUUAGUGAGAACGACAACGUGCAACUCUCCAAUCUGCAACACCGAAUUACUGAGGAUGAUGAAAUUCCAUUUUUCCAGCUUCAACGACAAAUGGUCGUUAUAACUAUUUAGUUUGCCAAUACAACAUAUCAUUGGGUCAAAUGCUGUCCGACGUGUUUCAUACCGAUUGUUAGGCCGUUCUUGGCACACUGAUUUUGACUAUGGAUAACUGCGUUUACCUGAUCAAGAUGUAGGGCUCACGGCGGGUGUGACUGGUCGACAGGGAAUGCUUACUCCUCCUAGAUCUCACCUCUGGUAUAUACAGGGGUCUGUGUUUGCCCAACUCUAUAUUUCGUAUUGCUUAUAGGAGUUACUAGAUUAUCACUGUUCAUUAUAUUCACCUUUCAUGAAAGCGCUACCUGAACCAACCACCAUAAGAGCUGACGAUUAUCUGAACAUCGAUGCAAAUGAAGAAACUGAACACCAGCUCACCGAUGACGAUAUUAUGCUGUUAAGGUCAAGGGUAGAAAUGUCUGACUAUGAUGACGAUCACGAUGAAGAAGUGAGUGACAUCACCACGAAAGAAGCAACAGACAGCAUCACCACACUCAUUAGUAAUUUCGAGCGGAAACAGCAGCAACAGAAAAUGAUAUGACAAACAGGAAAUCAACGUUGGACAAUUGAUACUGUUUCGACCGACUGCCAAACCCGGAAAUUACACCAAAUUAAGUUGACCGAAGUAAAGGUGUGACGAAAUGUAAAUGGUAAAUGAUUGUGUUAGCACGUAAUAUCUAAUUUAUUUUUUAGUUACAUAUAGUGGUUCAUUAUUUGUUUUAGUGCAUACGGUACACAGUUUUAUACAUUUGUUUUAGUGCUACUAUACAUGUACAAUAUAAGCAUAUGCAAAUAAUCUGUUCUUGUACAUUUCAAUUCUAGUGCUUUGAAAUGCAUGUAAAUGUCAACAUUAUGAUUUAUUUGAUAAAGCAAAUGGUUAAUGUGUUUGAUUCACUACGCAUAAAUAAAGUAAGCAUAUUGGUUACUUAUGUAAAGAUAGAAAAUAUGAUUAUAUAUACUUCAUUAAUCCUUACGCUUCGUUCAUCCGGACGAUUUUCAUGUGAACCAAAGUGUCCCGAUUAUCGAGGCGCCAUUGCACUGUCAUGUUGAUAUGUUGCCAAUUUUUAAGAGUUAUCUACCCUUUGUAUUGUUUAAUGUUGGCUAAUGUUAAUUUGGGAAGACCAUUGUCAGUUGCAACUAUGAAAUUCUAUGAUUGGAGUAUAAAUUUAAUUUUAAUCCAAUAACCUAAUCUUAAUGUACGUUUAACCUUCAUGAUGAUAUUUUGAAGAAAAGGGCACUAUUCAAACCUAAUAUUUCAUUUGAUUUUUAAAAGCUAAGCUCAGUAAUAUGGUUUGAUAAUUUUAAGUAGUCUAUUCUAAUAGUUGCGUAAAAAUAAUUAUUUGCUAGCUCGCCCUUCGAAGAUAUGACUCUUUCAAUACAUAAGUUUUCGUCCUUUUUGCAAAAUUGACAUAUUACAAGUCUGAUUAUGACUUAUGCCAAUUUUGGAAGGCUAUUGUCAAUUGUAACUCUGUAAUUCUACGAUACUGGGGAUAAUACAAUACAACUUAUCAUUGGAUCAAAUGCUGUCUGACGUGUUUCAUACCGAUUGUUAGGCCGUUCUUGGCACACGGAUUUUAACUACGGAUAAUUCCGUUUACCUGAUCAAGAUAUAGGGCUCACGGCGGGUGUGACCGGUAGAAAGAGGAUGCUUACUCCUCCUAGGCACCCUGAUUCCACCUCUGGUAUAUCCAGGGGUCCGUGUUUGCCCAACUCUCUAUUUUGUAUUGCUUCUAGGAGUUAUGAAUAUGAUCACUUUUCGUUAUCUUCACCUUUCAUAAGAGUUCCUUAUUAGCUACCUUGAAUCGAUGUGUCAAUGACCAUAGUCACUAGCCACGCCUAUUGUCUACGUUUACACUACGUCAAUGCCUUGGCUGUAUGAUUAAAAGAAAUCCUCAACUCCAUGAAUAUUCAUCUUCAUUAGUCAACCAAUCGGUGAGGUUCCAUGAUUUUUGUGUGGUGGAAAGCAAAUCAUACGGAGGUCAUUGCGUACUCGUAGGGGAAUAAUCCGGGGAUUGCCGAUUGAGAACAAACUAGACACUUUUUAGGUGUUGUAACUAAUGAACGCUUCUUUGUUGACUUCAACGGUGUAAUAAAUUUACCAUAUAAUAUGCAUAACCACGCCGCUCUUUUUACAUCAAAUUUAGUCUUUCAGAUUUUAACACAUCUACUUUACUCGAAUUUCCUCAUCAAGUUUGAGAAUACGAUUAAGUUUAAUAACACAUGAUUUACAAGCGUAACCAUUGCUGUUAAUGCAAACUU
Long non-coding RNA from Ostrea edulis (European flat oyster), 4814 nucleotides. RefSeq lists it as uncharacterized. The record is from RefSeq and is a predicted model, not a curated record. NCBI's taxonomy places the organism in Eukaryota, Metazoa, Mollusca, Bivalvia, Ostreida, Ostreidae. The transcript is spliced from 4 exons.